GCCUGGGUGGCUCAACGGUUGAGCAUCUGUCUUUGGCUCAGGGCAUGAUUCCUGGGUCCUGGGAUCGAGUCCUGCCUCGGGCU
This 83-nucleotide transfer RNA is filed under the name Canis lupus familiaris (dog). It matches the Rfam family "tRNA". From Rfam's summary of the family: Transfer RNA (tRNA) molecules are approximately 80 nucleotides in length. Their secondary structure includes four short double-helical elements and three loops (D, anti-codon, and T loops). The record is from Rfam by way of RNAcentral. Lineage: Eukaryota; Metazoa; Chordata; Mammalia; Carnivora; Canidae. RNAcentral also lists the same sequence under 1 other name.